UACGGAGGGUGCGAGCGUUGUCCGGAAUCACUGGGCGUAAAGGGCGCGUAGGCGGCCGUGUAAGUCACUUGUGAAAUCCCGGGGCUCAACUCCGGGGCUGCAGGUGAGACUGCAUGGCUAGAGCUUGGUAGAGGCGAGUGGAAUUCCCGGUGUAGCGGUGGAAUGCGUAGAUAUCGGGAAGAACACCGGUGGCGAAGGCGGCUCGCUGGGCCAAUGCUGACGCUGAGGCGCGAAAGCCAGGGGAGCAAACGGG
Molecule: ribosomal RNA, 253 nt
Filed under: uncultured prokaryote
Description: partial 16S ribosomal RNA
Rfam family: Bacterial small subunit ribosomal RNA
Source: RNAcentral